AGUAAAUAAUCAUCCAAAAGCUUCCGCAAUUUAAACAAUGUAUCAUCACUGAGAGCAUCAAUAUCAAUCUCAAUUUCAUCCUCACCAUUCUGGUCAGCAUUAUGACUAUGCUCUUUUAGAAAUUCAAUAAUGAUAUCAGGUAAUUCAGCCAGCAAUGCUUCCAAUUCAGCGCUCAACUUAUGCUUAUCCUCAUCAGUCAUUAUCUGCCUAACAGGCUCCAACUUGAACUUCUUG
RNAcentral lists this unclassified non-coding RNA (234 nucleotides) under Hevea brasiliensis (rubber tree). The record is from RNAcentral. Lineage: Eukaryota; Viridiplantae; Streptophyta; Magnoliopsida; Malpighiales; Euphorbiaceae.